RNAcentral lists this ribosomal RNA (253 nucleotides) under uncultured bacterium. RNAcentral describes it as "partial 16S ribosomal RNA". It matches the Rfam family "Bacterial small subunit ribosomal RNA", at positions 524 to 776 of the family's 1533-position model. The record is from RNAcentral.
CACGGGGGGAGCAAGCGUUGUUCGGAAUCACUGGGCGUAAAGGGCGUGUAGGCGGUCAGGUAAGUGAGAUGUGAAAUGCCCCGGCUCACCCGGGGACCGGCAUCUCAUACUGCUUGGCUUGAGUACGGGAGAGGAUGUGGGAAUUCCUGGUGUAGCGGUGAAAUGCGUAGAUAUCAGGAGGAACACCGGUGGCGAAGGCGCACAUCUGGCCCGAUACUGACACUCAGAGACGAAAGCUAGGGGAGCAAAUGGG